RNAcentral lists this ribosomal RNA (168 nucleotides) under uncultured Streptococcus sp. Its description in RNAcentral is "partial 16S ribosomal RNA". It matches the Rfam family "Bacterial small subunit ribosomal RNA", at positions 1215 to 1382 of the family's 1533-position model. The record is from RNAcentral. Lineage: Bacteria; Bacillati; Bacillota; Bacilli; Lactobacillales; Streptococcaceae.
UACACACGUGCUACAAUGGUUGGUACAACGAGUUGCGAGUCGGUGACGGCGAGCUAAUCUCUUAAAGCCAAUCUCAGUUCGGAUUGUAGGCUGCAACUCGCCUACAUGAAGUCGGUAUCGCUAGUAAUCGCGGAUCAGCACGCCGCGGUGAAUACGUUCCCGGGCCUU